RNAcentral lists this ribosomal RNA (520 nucleotides) under uncultured Diversispora. RNAcentral's name for it is "SSU rRNA". It matches the Rfam family "Eukaryotic small subunit ribosomal RNA", at positions 569 to 1087 of the family's 1831-position model. The record is from RNAcentral. Lineage: Eukaryota; Fungi; Glomeromycota; Glomeromycetes; Diversisporales; Diversisporaceae.
AGCAGCCGCGGUAAUUCCAGCUCCAAUAGCGUAUAUUAAAGUUGUUGCAGUUAAAAAGCUCGUAGUUGAACUUCGGGGUCUACCCAUUGGUCAGGCUUAAUUGUCUGCACUGGUGAGAUGGAUCUCUACCUUCUGAGGAACUUUCAUGCCAUUUAUUUGGUGUGAUUGGAAAUCAGGACUGUUACUUUGAAAAAAUUAGAGUGUUUAAAGCAGACUAUCGUCUGAAUACAUUAGCAUGGAAUAAUGAAAUAGGGACGGACUGAUUCUAUUUCGUUGGUUUCUAGGAUCACCGUAAUGAUUAAUAGGGAUAGUUGGGGGCAUUAGUAUUCAAUUGUCAGAGGUGAAAUUCUUGGAUUUAUUGAAGACUAACUACUGCGAAAGCAUUUGCCAAGGAUGUUUUCAUUAAUCAAGAACGAAAGUUAGGGGAUCGAAGACGAUCAGAUACCGUCGUAGUCUUAACCAUAAACUAUGCCGACUAGGGAUCGGACGAAGUUAAUUUUAUAAUGACGCGUUCGGCACC